CAUGCGACCGCCGCACGGAUUAUGUACGUUCAGCUCGCUUACCUAAUUCGUCGAACGAGAAUACUUCAAUCGCCGCCUGCCCACUCAUUGUGCACCCAUUGGACGGGUAUUCUGACCCUAUUGAGGCCCUUUGGCCCCGAUUAUGGCCUAUUGUAAAACUUGGCGUACCAAGCUUUAACUUUCCGCCGAAGCCGACAGUGAAUACCUACCUGGGCGCAGCGUAAUCGAUCAACCACUCCAUUGCCGAGUGGUUCCGUUGCUACGCAUCGGCUGGACUCUCCCACUAGCCGGUGUGACCCUGACUCUGUGCCGGGUCUGAGGAUGCCCUCCGUCGUCAUCCCUUAGAAGGCGUUACCUGCUUUCAGACUGCCUCGUUGCGGCGCACUCACUACUUCCGAAAGCCCAGCAUUUUGAGACAACAAUCCCUUCUUGUUCACGAUCAACUUAUUCGACCGUGGAACUGCCAUGGAUUGGUCUUUCGGUGCCGAUUGAUGCACGGUCGUCGGCGCCAUUAUGCAUCCACCGUUCGCAAUAGGCCUUAAUAACCCGCAUUUCGCGCGCGUCCACCAAAGAAUUCAGACUACACUUUCGGGUGCCGAGUUGGCACCUCCCAGUAACCUUUGACCCUCUGAACUCACGUCUUCUCCUCUCACCUUAAGGUACACAUCGCCCACUUUACCCAUCUCUUUACCUCCUUGUGGUAACCCCUUCCGCCGGAAGAAACCAAACAAUUUGAACUGUGACUCCCGGCGCUUUUCCGCACCCCCUCGUGUUGGCCUAAUUAUAUGGGACCUAUCAAGGAGGGGCAAUUUGCUAACCCACAUUUCAAAAAUCUUCCCAAAAGGGGGAAAAUAAACGCCUUCAUUUUGUUAAUUUCGUUAAGGGGGAACCCCCCAUUCCCGGCGGUUCCGAAUUUUUAAUUUUCCUUUAACCGGCCCCCGGGCGUGUUCGCCACCUUCGGUAAACCAAAAUUAAAACCUUCCGUUUGCCCUUUUCUUUGGAAAAGGGGUCCAAAAACGUAAGAAAAAUGGUUGGAUUCCUAUUCCAAAAAGAAAGCCCCUGUUUUCCUGGUCACCAGGAACCAAAACAAUUGGGGCCCAGGAAUUUUCCAACCAAUUAAGGGGGUGCUUCCGUGGGAAUAAAAUCAACCGGUGGUAAUUAACCCGUUAAAAUCCCCCGGCGGCCAAUGGUUUGCCUUCUUCCCACCCCUCUCAAGUUAAUAAGAAGGGGGAUAAUGGAACCCAUGGGGUGAACAAGGUUACCGCCAAGGUUUUUCACGGUCCUGGCCUUCCACUUCAAUAAAAUAAUUUGGCAAAAAUUAAACCCUACAAUCCACGGUUAACGGAAGGUCCUUCGCCCUUAGCAACCAUAACCCCUAAUUGGUAGGCGCCCCUUUAUCCAAGGCCCGGAACCAUGUGUGGCGGGCCAGGGUGGUCUUUUAAACCAUGGGGGCUUUAGCCCCCCCCAUGGGAAAACCUCGGUCGGCGGAUUCCACCUGUCUACUACCCC
This 1509-nucleotide ribosomal RNA is filed under the name Bacillus cereus. RNAcentral's name for it is "partial 16S ribosomal RNA". The record is from RNAcentral. Lineage: Bacteria; Bacillati; Bacillota; Bacilli; Caryophanales; Bacillaceae.